This 470-nucleotide ribosomal RNA is filed under the name Limosilactobacillus vaginalis. RNAcentral's name for it is "bacterial SSU rRNA". It matches the Rfam family "Bacterial small subunit ribosomal RNA", at positions 74 to 528 of the family's 1533-position model. Lineage: Bacteria; Bacillati; Bacillota; Bacilli; Lactobacillales; Lactobacillaceae. The record is from RNAcentral.
GAAUUGACGUUGGAUUCCCAGUGAGCGGCGGACGGGUGAGUAACACGUGGGCAACCUGCCCUGAAGCGGGGGAUAACAUCUGGAAACAGGUGCUAAUACCGCAUAACAACGAAAACCACAUGGUUUUCGUUUCAAAGAUGGUUUCGGCUAUCACUUCAGGAUGGGCCCGCGGUGCAUUAGCUAGUUGGUAAGGUAACGGCUUACCAAGGCGAUGAUGCAUAGCCGAGUUGAGAGACUGAUCGGCCACAAUGGAACUGAGACACGGUCCAUACUCCUACGGGAGGCAGCAGUAGGGAAUCUUCCACAAUGGGCGCAAGCCUGAUGGAGCAACACCGCGUGAGUGAAGAAGGGUUUCGGCUCGUAAAGCUCUGUUGUUGGAGAAGAACGUGCGUGAGAGUAACUGUUCACGCAGUGACGGUAUCCAACCAGAAAGUCACGGNUAACUACGUGCCACAGCCGNGGUAAUAAAA